This is a long non-coding RNA of Armigeres subalbatus, 512 nucleotides long. RefSeq lists it as uncharacterized. NCBI's taxonomy places the organism in Eukaryota, Metazoa, Arthropoda, Insecta, Diptera, Culicidae. The record is from RefSeq and is a predicted model, not a curated record. The transcript has 2 exons.
AUUUAUUUGGCAGCUCAAUUAUAAACUAUUUUAGCCAUCCAAGUAAUCAUUUUAAAACUGUGUUAUUUCCUAUUUAUUUUAUUGUCAUAUUAACACUCAUAGUGCCUAUCAUAUUUUUCACUCUCGUCUUUCCCUCGCACAGUCGCACGCAAAGCAUCACAACGAAAACAGUGAAUCUGUCAACAUGCAAAAUUCCGGACUUGUUUUUGCACCCCAAUAUUGCUUUUUGGGUUGUAUUCGAUUGCCUUUGCCAGCCAAAGCCAGAAAUGCCAUCAAGUUCACGCAAAUGUGUCGUCGAUAUUAAUACCCUAUCGUUUAUUUCACGGAACAAGAAGAUAAUUCGCAUGAGUCGGAACUUCUGGCCGACAAGAAAGAUGGCGCAGUAUCUCCACAUGCUAACGACGUGCACUCCGAUGAGAUAUUACUCCGAAGCGGCCACCUUUGCAUUUUAGACGCAGCUGUAACGUGUAGUACAAAUUAAUUCUAAAAAUGCAAUUAAACAUUAAAAGCUA